This 150-nucleotide ribosomal RNA is filed under the name uncultured eukaryote. Its description in RNAcentral is "partial small subunit ribosomal RNA". It matches the Rfam family "Eukaryotic small subunit ribosomal RNA", at positions 1651 to 1798 of the family's 1831-position model. The record is from RNAcentral.
CCCUGCCAUUUGUACACACCGCCCGUCGCUACUACCGAUUGAAUGGCUAAGUGAGGCUUUCGGACUGGCUUAGGGAGGGUGGCAACACCCACCCAGAGCCGGAAAGUUAUCCAAACUUGGUCAUUUAGAGGAAGUAAAAGUCGUAACAAG